Molecule: ribosomal RNA, 435 nt
Filed under: uncultured bacterium
Lineage: Bacteria
Description: partial 16S ribosomal RNA
Rfam family: Bacterial small subunit ribosomal RNA
Source: RNAcentral
GAUGAACGCUGGCGGUAUGCUUAACACAUGCAAGUCGAACGGACUCUUCGGAGUUAGUGGCGGACGGGUGAGUAACGCGUGAGAAUCUGGCUUUGGGUUCGGGACAACCACUGGAAACGGUGGCUAAUACCGGAUGUGCCGAGAGGUAAAAGAGAAAUUGCCUGAAGAUGAGCUCGCGUCUGAUUAGCUAGUUGGUGAGGUAAAGGCUCACCAAGGCAGCGAUCAGUAGCUGGUCUGAGAGGAUGACCAGCCACACUGGGACUGAGACACGGCCCAGACUCCUGCGGGAGGCAGCAGUGGGGAAUUUUCCGCAAUGGGCGAAAGCCUGACGGAGCAAUACCGCGUGAGGGAAGAAGGCUCUUGGGUUGUAAACCUCUUCUCUUAGGGAAGAACAAAAUGACGGUACCUAAGGAAUCAGCAUCGGCUAACUCCGUG